This 497-nucleotide ribosomal RNA is filed under the name uncultured bacterium. Its description in RNAcentral is "partial 16S ribosomal RNA". It matches the Rfam family "Bacterial small subunit ribosomal RNA", at positions 28 to 507 of the family's 1533-position model. The record is from RNAcentral.
GAUGAACGCUGGCGGCGUGCCUAAUACAUGUGAGUCGAGCGAACAGACGAGGAGCUUGCUCCUCUGACGUUAGCGGCGGACGGGUGAGUAACACGUGGAUAACCUACCUAUAAGACUGGGAUAACUUCGGGAAACCGGAGCUAAUACCGGAUAAUAUAUUGAACCGCAUGGUUCAAUAGUGAAAGACGGUUUUGCUGUCACUUAUAGAUGGAUCCGCGCCGCAUUAGCUAGUUGGUAAGGUAACGGCUUACCAAGGCAACGAUGCGUAGCCGACCUGAGAGGGUGAUCGGCCACACUGGAACUGAGACACGGUCCAGACUCCUACGGGAGGCAGCAGUAGGGAAUCUUCCGCAAUGGGCGAAAGCCUGACGGAGCAACGCCGCGUGAGUGAUGAAGGUCUUCGGAUCGUAAAACUCUGUUAUUAGGGAAGAACAAAUGUGUAAGUAACUAUGCACGUCUUGACGGUACCUAAUCAGAAAGCCACGGCUAACUACGUG